This 3026-nucleotide small RNA is filed under the name Pan troglodytes (chimpanzee). Its description in RNAcentral is "sense intronic". The record is from RNAcentral. Lineage: Eukaryota; Metazoa; Chordata; Mammalia; Primates; Hominidae.
CUGGACAGCAAUGUAAGUGUGAAGCGUCUUUCAAGAGAGUAUGGUGUUGGAGUGACCACCAUACAUGACCUGAACAAACAGAAAGAUAAACCGUUGAUGUUCUGUGCUGCAAGUGGUGAAUAGAGGUUAAUGAAAAAUAGAAAAAGCACUCCAUGAAGCUAAAAAUGAAGAUAUUGAUUGUGUAUUGAAACAGUGAAUCCAUCAGUGUUGGCAGUGAACACGUGCCUCUUAAUGGUAUGCUGAUCAUGAAACAAGUAACGAUCUAUCAUGAUGAACUGAAUGUUGAAAGGAGCUGUGAAUAUUCAACACGCUGGUUGCAGAAGUUUAAGAGAAGAUACGACAUUACAUUUUUAAAGAUUUGUGGUGAUAAAGCAUCUGAUGAUCAGGAAGCAAUGGAGAAGUUCAUUGAUAAAUUUGCCAAAGUCAUGGCUGAUGAAAAUCUGCCAGAACAGUUUAUAAUGCUGAUGAAAUAUAUCCCUGUUCUGGUGUUAUUGUCUCAAAAAGACACUGGGCUACAGUUGAUGGGACAGCCCCUCCAGGAAUUAAGGAUACCAAGGACAGAAUAACUGUCCUGGGAUGUGCUAAUGCAACUGGCAUACAUAAGUACAAACAUGCUCUGAUAGGCAAAACCUUUCACACUUGUUGUUUUCAAGGAGUGAAUUUCUUACCAGUCCAUGGUUACCCUGACACAAAAGUAUGGAUCACCACAGACAUCUUUUCUGAUUGGUUUCAUAAACACUUUGUACCAGUGGCUUGUAUGUACUGCCCAUAAGCUAGACUGGAUGAUGUAGGAGUUUGUUAUUCCUUGAUAUCACCCAAUUCAUCCUCCAGCUAAAAUUCUCAAAACUAAUGUUUAUGCCAUGUACUUUCCCUCAGAUGUGACUUCAUUAAUUCAGCCAUGUGACCAGGGUAUCUUUAGAUCAAUGAACAGAAAAUAUAAAUCCACUUUCUUGAAUAGCAUGCUGGCAGCAGUGAACAGAGGCAUGGGUGCAGAAAAUUUUCAAAAGGAGUUUAGUAUAAAGAAUGCCAUAUAUGUUGUUGCCAAUACUUGGAACACAGUGACAAAGACACAGUUGUGCAUGCCUGGCACAACCUCUGGCCUGCAACUGUGUUUAGUGAUAAUGAUGAACUGUGUGUGUGUGACUUUGAAGGAUUCUGUAUGUCAAGUGAAAAAAAAUGAUGUCUGACCUCCUUACAUAUGUAAAAAAUAUACCUUCAGAGUUCAGCAGUAAGCUGGAAGAAGUAGAUGUCAGAGAAGUUUUGAACUUUGAUAAUAAUGCUUCAGUUAUUCAUUCAUUGACUGGUGGUAAAAUAGUUGAAAUGGUUUUGAAUCAGGGUUAUGAUAGUGAUGAAGAAGGUCAAGAUAACACCACAGAAAAGGUGCUUAUAGAAGAAGACAUGGUGAAAAUGUAUGGUGGGCAUAUUGAAGGAUUACGGCAGCGUGCAUUAACAACAGAAUGAAAAACCAUGUCAGUUUUUAAAAUUGAAGAGAGACUUCUGAGCUAAAAACCAUGUUAAUGAGGCAGAUGACUCCACAAGAAGCAUUUUUAAAAGCCUUCCAGCAGAAUGUCUCUUCAUCCCCCAUAGGAUCCACUUCCUGGUCCCUCAGCUGCUUCUGAUGUUUCUUCUUAACUAAAAAACACAGUUUAUAGUAACCUUUUAAUAAAAACACAGCAUCAUAGGUGAAGACUGAAAGCCUGCUGUUGUUCGUAGCUGCUUUUUCCUUUUUUUUUUUUUUUUUUUUUUUUUUUUUUUUUUGAGACGUAGUUUCACUCUUGUUGCCCAGGCUGGAGUGCAAUGGCGUGAUCUCGGCUCACUGCAACCUCCGCCUCCUGGGUUCAAGCAGUUCUCCUGCCUCAGCCUCCCGAGUAGCUGGGAUUACAGGCAACCACCACCACGCCUGGCUAAUUUUUGUAUAUUUGAUAGAGACGGGGUUUCACCAUGUUGACCAGGCUGGUCUUGAUCUUCUGGCCUUAGGUGAUCCACUUGCCUUGGCCUCCCAAAGUGCUGGGAUUGCAGGCAUGAGCCACUACCCCCGGCUCUGUGGUUGGUUUUGUUUAAUAGCUGAAACAGGUAUCCUGGUGAUGCUACUAUGCUGCUUAGUUGUCCUGACACAUUAUUUUUUCAGUGUUAAUGGUAUGUCAUAUUUUUACUGUUAAGUACUUAAUGUAUGAAUAAAUGUAAGAAAACACUUGCCUAUUGUUAGCAUGUAGAUUAAGAGUCAGGAAUGAUGACUCUUGUUGACAUGGGUGGCUGAGAUAGUGACACCUUUGCUUUCUGAUGGUUCAGGGUAUACAAACUUUAUUACAGGCACAAAAUUAUCAAAAAUACGGUAUAAAAUUACCUUAAGGCUAUGUAUAUAAGGGAUGUGUGUAUGUGUGUAUACACACAAAAAUAAAUUUUGUGUUUCCACUUGGAUCCCCUCCCUAAGAUAACUCAUUGUGUACAUGCAAACAUUAGAAAAUGCAAAAAAAAGAAAAAAAAAAGAAAUCUGAAACAGUUCUAGUCUCAAGCAUUUUGGAUGAGGGAUACCCAUCCUCUAUUUUAUCACCAUUUUCAUGCUGUAUUAAAAUGAAAUUGCCAACUCAGUUCAAAGGAAUUUUUCUUCUUAGCUUUACGUUGUUGAUUCAUGGUGGAGGUGAACAAGCUAUCGACUGGUGGGUUGGAUACCUUUGUCCAGAGAGGUCCUUGUGACAUAUCUCAUGGCCCAUUACCUAGGUGAUGUGAGUCUUGCCUUCUGCCUGGAAUAAAGUUUUGUUGGAAUGCAGCUAUGCCCAUUUACUAGUGUAUUGUCCAUAGCUGCUUCUCUGCUACAAUGUAGAUUAGCAGUUGUAACAGAGACUAUAUGGCCCCCCCAGGUUAAAGUAUUUAUUAGCUGUCCUUUUAUAGAAAAAAAUGGCCCACAUCAGAUUUAUGGAAAUGUCUGUUCCUUUGUUUACGUUUUGCCCAUGACUUUUUAACACUUUCACAGACAUUAUUGUUCAUUAUUAUAUGUCAGAAAUAAACUCACUUUUUGUAAACUUUCC